GAAACGACUGCUAAUACCGCAUAACGUCUACGGACCAAAGGGGGCUUCGGCUCCCACCUGAAGAGAGGCCCAAGUGAGAUUAGCUAGUUGGUAAGGUAAAGGCUUACCAAGGCGACGAUCUCUAGCUGUUCUGGGAGGAAGAUCAGCCACACUGGGACUGAGACACGGCCCAGACUCCUACGGGAGGCAGCAGUGGGGAAUAUUGCACAAUGGGGGAAACCCUGAUGCAGCCAUGCCGCGUGUGUGAAGAAGGCCUUCGGGUUGUAAAGCACUUUCAGUUGUGAGGAAAGGUUGGUAGUUAAUACCUGCCAGCUGUGACGUUAACAACAGAAGAAGCACCGGCUAACUCCGUGCCAGCAGCCGCGGUAAUACGGAGGGUGCGAGCGUUAAUCGGAAUUACUGGGCGUAAAGCGCACGCAGGCGGUUUGUUAAGCUAGAUGUGAAAGCCCCGGGCUCAACCUGGGAUGGUCAUUUAGAACUGGCAGACUAGAGUCUUGGAGAGGGGAGUGGAAUUCCAGGUGUAGCGGUGAAAUGCGUAGAUAUCUGGAGGAACAUCAGUGGCGAAGGCGGCUCCCUGGCCAAAGACUGACGCUCAUGUGCGAAAGUGUGGGUAGCGAACAGGAUUAGAUACCCUGGUAGUCCACACCGUAAACGCUGUCUACUAGCUGUUUGUGAAUUUAAUUCGUGAGUAGCGAAGCUAACGCGCUA
Molecule: ribosomal RNA, 708 nt
Filed under: uncultured bacterium
Lineage: Bacteria
Description: bacterial SSU rRNA
Rfam family: Bacterial small subunit ribosomal RNA
Source: RNAcentral